GUCAUUAGUUUCAACUUUUUUUUUUCGUGCACUUGAAGCGGGGAAAGUUUGCGCGGCAGUGUGUUUAAUUUAUUCUGUUUUAACGGUUUUAGAAAUGGAUAUUCAGAAACAGAGAGAUGGAUUUCAGACAUCCCUAAAUCUGAAGCUGUCAAAUGGUUAUGUUUUACCUGAAGGUAGAAUGACACCAAACACACUUUUUGUUGGAGGAAUCGACAUGAAGGUGGAUGAGAAUGAAAUCCGGGACUUCUUUGCGAGAUUUGGCACGGUGAAGGAAGUGAAAAUCAUCACUUAUCGCGGAGGCAUCUGCAAAGGAUAUGGAUUUGUUUACUUCAAUGAAGAUGUCGACAUCGAAACCAUCGUUGAACAACAGAUCAGUUUUAAAGGGCGGAAACUGAAGCUGGGUCCAGCAAUCAUGAAGGAAAGGAGCGCACGUUCCAUGCCGUCUCACCUGGUUGGUCAGGUCCCCUGGAUGAGCCCCUCACAGUACAUCUACUGCACCUGCUGCUCUCCUGUGGGCGUGGCUCAGCCCUCACCUGUACUCAACGGGGGCAAUCCCUACAUCCAGCCUUACUCGUAUAAUGGCCUUCAAGGAGUCAUGAUGCCACAGAUGCCCAUGAGCUACUCACAAACCGCCUACGCGUACCAGUACGCCUCUCCACACUGGACGGGGGAGCAGAGGACACGGCUUGUCAACCAGCCGGCUCAUUAUUUGAUGUGAUGUGGUGCCCCGUUUCCAGAACUUUGUGGACUGUGGAGUCCAGACUCUGCUGACUCUGCUGUAGCCCACUGACCCUCCUGUACCAGGGGGUGAUGUGUGCCAGUUUGCACUGCGAGUAGAUGACAUCCUGGCCUUUGGAGCGCUAGAAGCAACAAACUUUCAAAAUGUACAUUACCAGGAUGCUUUCUCUCCCUGACAUCCCUCCCUCACUCGCUUUGAGACCCAUUUUAACACCGACCGUGGCGGCUCAACACUUGCACCUGAUGGGCGUGGUCACUGUGACUGUGCUCCAUGAUUGGCUUGGCUAGGACCACGGUCCUGGGGUUUGGACCGCUUUUAAAUCACCUCAACCACUGUCACGCAGGGAAGAGAGGAAGUCAUUUUGGUGAUUCAGCAUUUUCAUAACAAGGCAACGUGUGGUGUCACUUUUUUUUUUUUUUGUAGUUUGUGGUUUUUGAUGGGUUUUUUGAUUGUCCCAAACCAAAAAGAGACUUUUACGCUCACCUGUGCAUAUUUAUAUUUUAUUUUGUACUAUUUAUGUUGAAAUUAUUUUAAUGUCGGUUUGUUUGGGUUUAAGCUUUUAGCGGGGCCUCUCUGUACAUAGAUUUGUAAUACAGUAAAUUCAUCUUUAGAAUAGUGAGAUCGAUUAACUUUCCCUUUAUUAAUUCACGUUCCAUCCCCAUACUCCUUCCAUUUAAGAUAAACUAGUGUGUUGAAUUGUUAUGAGGGCAGCAUUGGGCACAACACUAACACAUUUUUCAGGUAC
This is an RNA transcript of Salmo salar (Atlantic salmon), 1484 nucleotides long. It is a transcript of the gene named deleted in azoospermia-like, with no coding region annotated. The record is from RefSeq and is a predicted model, not a curated record. Lineage: Eukaryota; Metazoa; Chordata; Actinopteri; Salmoniformes; Salmonidae.